RNAcentral lists this ribosomal RNA (634 nucleotides) under uncultured bacterium. RNAcentral describes it as "bacterial SSU rRNA". It matches the Rfam family "Bacterial small subunit ribosomal RNA", at positions 46 to 679 of the family's 1533-position model. The record is from RNAcentral.
GCUUACCAUGCAAGUCGAACGGUAACGCGGGGCAACCUGGCGACGAGUGGCGAACGGGUGAGUAAUACAUCGGAACGUGCCCAGUAGUGGGGGAUAGCCCGGCGAAAGCCGGAUUAAUACCGCAUACGACCUACGGGUGAAAGCGGGGGAUCGCAAGACCUCGCGCUAUUGGAGCGGCCGAUGUCAGAUUAGGUAGUUGGUGAGGUAAAGGCUCACCAAGCCUUCGAUCUGUAGCUGGUCUGAGAGGACGACCAGCCACACUGGGACUGAGACACGGCCCAGACUCCUACGGGAGGCAGCAGUGGGGAAUUUUGGACAAUGGGCGCAAGCCUGAUCCAGCCAUGCCGCGUGCGGGAAGAAGGCCUUCGGGUUGUAAACCGCUUUUGUCAGGGAAGAAACGCUCCGGGCCAAUACCCUGGGGUAAUGACGGUACCUGAAGAAUAAGCACCGGCUAACUACGUGCCAGCAGCCGCGGUAAUACGUAGGGUGCAAGCGUUAAUCGGAAUUACUGGGCGUAAAGCGUGCGCAGGCGGUUAUGCAAGACAGAUGUGAAAUCCCCGGGCUUAACCUGGGAACUGCAUUUGUGACUGCAUAGCUAGAGUGCGGCAGAGGGGGAUGGAAUUCCGCGUGUAGC